RNAcentral lists this ribosomal RNA (245 nucleotides) under uncultured bacterium. Its description in RNAcentral is "partial 16S ribosomal RNA". It matches the Rfam family "Bacterial small subunit ribosomal RNA", at positions 88 to 334 of the family's 1533-position model. The record is from RNAcentral.
AUGGCGACCGGCGCACGGGUGAGUAACACGUAUCCAACCUGCCGAUAACUCGGGGAUAGCCUUUCGAAAGAAAGAUUAAUACUCGAUGGUAUAAUCAGACCGCAUGGUUUGAUUAUUAAAGAAUUUCGGUUAUCGAUGGGGAUGCGUUCCAUUAGGCAGUUGGUGAGGUAACGGCUCACCAAACCUUCGAUGGAUAGGGGUUCUGAGAGGAAGGUCCCCCACAUUGGAACUGAGACACGGUCCAA